CUUCUCUUCAUUGUUAAACCAGCAGAACUCUCUUGGAAUCGAACUCAAUCUAUCAAAAAUCAAAAGCUAUCUUAUCUGAAUCAAACCGAAUUUGUGAGGUCUCUUGAACUCGAUCUGAUUUGUUAGAUGGGUUUUGAUAAGAUUGAGUUUAAGUUAUUUUAUUUUUCGAACGAGGGUUUCAACUCAGUCUGAUUUGUGAGAUCUCUUGAACUCGUCUCACAAAUCAAACCCAUAUUUCAGAAAUCAAAUCCAAUCUUCAGGUAUUCAGAAAUCAAACCCAAUCUUCAGGUAACCCAAAUUUGGAUUCAAACCCUAGAAAUGGGAUUUUCUCUUUUAUAAACCCAGCAAAAUGUUCUCUCUAUUUUUAUGAAUUUCAAUUUUGAGUUUGAUUACUGUCUAUCUUUACAUCCGGUUGGAUCGAUUUUAUAAGGUUUGUUUUUGGUUAGUUUUUAUUAGACAAAAUCAUUUAGGUUUAAGAUUUUCGUUUGGGUGCUGUUUUGAAUUCCCAUAAUUUAAUUGCUUAAAUCUGAGAUUUUUGGGGUUUGUAUUGAGUUAAUUUCCCUUCUAGAUCCAUGAAGUUAUUGAUUAUGGAAAGAAAGAAAGUGAUAAGAAUGACUCUUUGGUUAUUCAUAAAGGAGGGAUGGAGCUGAGUUUCACACUGCUUAAGAUCAAGAAGAAAUGUCAGGACUUAUGCUGCUAUCCAAUCAUGGUGGUAUUAUGCAUAUUUUAAGUUUAUUUUUCAUUGUUAGGUACAAAAGGAGUGUAUUUUUUCUCUAAGAGUUUAUCAAUCAAUGUACCCGGUCCAUCAAAAAAAAUAAAAAAUCAAUGUAGCCCCAAUUGGAUAAGUAAUUUGUAUUUUCUUCUCUUGACUGCAGUCAAGUGCUACAUCUGAUGUGUAAUUAUACACGUGAAGUUUUUGAAGAAGGGUAAGAAUUGAACAAGAGAAUCUCCAAAUCAAAGAAUCUGAUGGUUAUUUUGCCGUUGAGAACCCGUAUGUGCCUAAUAUUGUCCAUUUCGUAUCCUAAAUUGGCAUUCACGUGUUGGGUUGAGUUCCUGUUGUGUUUGCAAAAAAGUUUUUGUUUGAGUAAGUGUUUGAAUGACCUGUCCUGUCACCUGUGGCUCUGAUAAGUAACAUGUUUGGUGGAGAGAAACAGUACGUGGUCUUGCAAAGAAUAUGUUCACCAAAAAUUAGGGAAGCCAAGGAGCUAUAUUUUAACAAGGAUAGGUGUGUUGUUAAUAAGUUAAUACUGUUAACAAGCUUGCAGAUUACUCUUGGUCCUAAGGUUAGGAAUGUUGUUUCGGAAAUGAAGUACGACUCUCCUAAGAUUGUGAAAGAUGGAGUGGUUGUGGCCAAAGAGGUUGAUUUGGAAGAUUCAGUUGAAAACGUCAGUGCUAAGUUGGUAAGACAAGCUGCUGCUAAGUUUAUGACUCUAAUAAGCACACUACCAAGGUAGAACAAAAAAGUUCGAUGUGGAAAAAGCUCUAGCCACCUCAUUACAUGAUUUUGAAAAGGAAAUUUAUGGUUUCUUGUGGGUACGAGACAAUCAAAGAAUUAUACUCAUAAUCUAGUACAAGAGAAUUGGAUGACAAAAUGAAAAUUUUAGCUCUUUUUAUUCAGGAAAAAUACAUGGUUCCUUAAAUGUAAUGGAGACUUGUUUAUAGGAUUCCUUGCAGAUUUACUCCUAGGCUUGUCUUACCAUUUCUUCAAUUUGCCAUAUCCCCGUGAAGAGAUUACUGAAAGAUUCGAAUUGCAUGGUCCUUGAAAUUCUUCCAUUCGGAUUAGGUGCUCAUUGGGUAACAUUGAUGCUCAUUAUGAGAAGGCAUUGGAAGUUUCAGACAACAGUACAUGACUCCAAACAACUGAACUGGUGAUUUGUAGGACUUCGUUUUAUUUUAUGCCACAACAGAAGACUCAUAGUGCUGUUAAGUGUUGUAAGGAUGAUUUGUAGGACUUCGUUCUUACAAAGUCAGGGUUCUGUACUAUUUGUAAUACUUGAAUUUUUAAUUUCGGAAGUACCA
This is a long non-coding RNA of Papaver somniferum (opium poppy), 2019 nucleotides long. RefSeq lists it as uncharacterized. The transcript has 8 exons. Lineage: Eukaryota; Viridiplantae; Streptophyta; Magnoliopsida; Ranunculales; Papaveraceae. The record is from RefSeq and is a predicted model, not a curated record.